AUUGUUAGUUGCCAUCAUUCAGUUGGGGCACUCUAGCGAGACUGCCGGUAAUAAACCGGAGGAAGGUGGGGAUGACGUCAAAUCAUCAUGCCCCUUAUGACCUGGGCUACACACGUGCUACAAUGGUUGGUACAACGAGUUGCGAGUCGGUGACGGCGAGCUAAUCUCUUAAAGCCAAUCUCAGUUCGGAUUGUAGGCUGCAACUCGCCUACAUGAAGUCGGAAUCGCUAGUAAUCGCGGAUCAGCACGCCGCAGUGAAUACGUUCCCGGGCCUU
RNAcentral lists this ribosomal RNA (275 nucleotides) under uncultured Streptococcus sp. RNAcentral's name for it is "partial 16S ribosomal RNA". It matches the Rfam family "Bacterial small subunit ribosomal RNA", at positions 1107 to 1382 of the family's 1533-position model. Lineage: Bacteria; Bacillati; Bacillota; Bacilli; Lactobacillales; Streptococcaceae. The record is from RNAcentral.